RNAcentral lists this ribosomal RNA (486 nucleotides) under uncultured bacterium. RNAcentral's name for it is "partial 16S ribosomal RNA". It matches the Rfam family "Bacterial small subunit ribosomal RNA", at positions 29 to 507 of the family's 1533-position model. The record is from RNAcentral.
AUUGAACGCUGGCGGCAUGCUUUACACAUGCAAGUCGAGCGGCAGCGCGGGGGCAACCCUGGCGGCGAGCGGCGAACGGGUGAGUAAUGCAUCGGAACGUAUCCUCGAGUGGGGGAUAACCCAGCGAAAGUUGGGCUAAUACCGCAUGAGCUCUGAGGAGGAAAGCGGGGGACCUGCGAGGGCCUCGCGCUGGAGGAGCGGCCGAUGUCCGAUUAGCUAGUUGGUGGGGUAAAGGCUUACCAAGGCGACGAUCGGUAGCUGGUCCGAGAGGAUGAUCAGCCACACUGGGACUGAGACACGGCCCAGACUCCUACGGGAGGCAGCAGUGGGGAAUUUUGGACAAUGGGGGCAACCCUGAUCCAGCCAUGCCGCGUGAGUGAAGAAGGCCUUCGGGUUGUAAAGCUCUUUCGGACGGAACGAAAUGGGCGGGACUAAUACUCCUGUCUGAUGACGGUACCGUAAGAAGAAGCACCGGCUAACUACGUG